This 206-nucleotide long non-coding RNA is filed under the name Calidris pugnax (ruff). RNAcentral's name for it is "lncRNA (ENSCPUG00000003835.1)". Lineage: Eukaryota; Metazoa; Chordata; Aves; Charadriiformes; Scolopacidae. The record is from RNAcentral.
CACCUGCUUGAAUCAGAUGCAGUAUUUUGUCUCUAAACCUUAGCUGCAUCUGUCAGCAACAGUCUUUUCUGUGUUUAAACAGAUACCUGAAGUCACCUAUUCUGAGUCAGGGGUAUGAGAAGAGAAGCACUGUAUCUUUCAUAAAAAGUGAGCAUCACCUACCUCUCAUUAAAGCAUUCUUCAGUUCAGCACCUUCUCUCAGAUAA